This 180-nucleotide ribosomal RNA is filed under the name uncultured Glomeromycotina. RNAcentral describes it as "partial small subunit ribosomal RNA". Lineage: Eukaryota; Fungi; Glomeromycota. The record is from RNAcentral.
GGUCUGGCUGGCGGGUCCGCCUCACCGCGUGCACUUGUCCGGCCGGGCCUUUCCUUCUGGAGAACCUCAUGCCCUUCACUGGGCGUGUUGGGGAACCAGGACUUUUACUUUGAAAAAAUUAGAGUGUUUAAAGCAGGCGAAACAGCUUGAAUACAUUAGCAUGGAAUAAUAAAACAGGAC